This 425-nucleotide ribosomal RNA is filed under the name uncultured bacterium. Its description in RNAcentral is "bacterial SSU rRNA". It matches the Rfam family "Bacterial small subunit ribosomal RNA", at positions 355 to 771 of the family's 1533-position model. The record is from RNAcentral.
UCGGGAAUUUUGGGCAAUGGGCGAAAGCCUGACCCAGCAACGCCGCGUGAGGGAUGAAGGCCUUCGGGUCGUAAACCUCUGUCGGGAGGGAAGAAGGGUUGCAGUUCGAACAGGGCUGUGACCUGACGGUACCUCCAACGGAAGCACCGGCUAACUCCGUGCCAGCAGCCGCGGUAAUACGGAGGGUGCAAGCGUUGUUCGGAAUCAUUGGGCGUAAAGCGCGUGUAGGUGGCUUGGCAAGUCGGAUGUGAAAUCCCGGGGCUCAACCCCGGAACUGCAUUCGAAACUGCUUGGCUAGAGUCCCGGAGAGGAAGGCGGAAUUCCCGGUGUAGAGGUGAAAUUCGUAGAUAUCGGGAGGAACACCAGCGGCGAAGGCGGCCUUCUGGACGGUGACUGACGCUGAGACGCGAAAGCGUGGGGAGCAA